RNAcentral lists this ribosomal RNA (497 nucleotides) under uncultured bacterium. RNAcentral describes it as "partial 16S ribosomal RNA". It matches the Rfam family "Bacterial small subunit ribosomal RNA", at positions 28 to 507 of the family's 1533-position model. The record is from RNAcentral.
GAUGAACGCUGGCGGCGUGCCUAAUACAUGCAAGUCGAGCGAACAGACGAGGAGCUUGCUCCUCUGACGUUAGCGGCGGACGGGUGAGUAACACGUGGAUAACCUACCUAUAAGACUGGGAUAACUUCGGGAAAUCGGAGCUAAUACCGGAUAAUAUAUUGAACCGCAUGGUUCAAUUGUGAAAGACGGUUUUGCUGUCACUUAUAGAUGGAUCCGCGCCGCAUUAGCUAGUUGGUAAGGUAACGGCUUACCAAGGCAACGAUGCGUAGCCGACCUGAGAGGGUGAUCGGCCACACUGGAACUGAGACACGGUCCAGACUCCUACGGGAGGCAGCAGUAGGGAAUCUUCCGCAAUGGGCGAAAGCCUGACGGAGCAACGCCGCGUGAGUGAUGAAGGUCUUCGGAUCGUAAAACUCUGUUAUUAGGGAAGAACAAAUGUGUAAGUAACUAUGCACGUCUUGACGGUACCUAAUCAGAAAGCCACGGCUAACUACGUG